GAUGAACGCUGGCGGCGUGCCUAAUACAUGCCAGUCGAGCGAACAGACGAGGAGCUUGCUCCUUUGACGUUAGCGGCGGACGGGUGAGUAACACGUAGGUAACCUACCUAUAAGACUGGGAUAACUUCGGGAAACCGGAGCUAAUACCGGAUAAUAUUUCGAACCGCAUGGUUCGAUAGUGAAAGAUGGCUUUGCUAUCACUUAUAGAUGGACCUGCGCCGUAUUAGCUAGUUGGUAAGGUAACGGCUUACCAAGGCAACGAUACGUAGCCGACCUGAGAGGGUGAUCGGCCACACUGGAACUGAGACACGGUCCAGACUCCUACGGGAGGCAGCAGUAGGGAAUCUUCCGCAAUGGGCGAAAGCCUGACGGAGCAACGCCGCGUGAGUGAUGAAGGUCUUCGGAUCGUAAAACUCUGUUAUUAGAGAAGAACAAACGUGUAAGUAACUGUGCACGUCUUGACGGUACCUAAUCAGAAAGCCACGGCUAACUACGUG
Molecule: ribosomal RNA, 497 nt
Filed under: uncultured bacterium
Lineage: Bacteria
Description: partial 16S ribosomal RNA
Rfam family: Bacterial small subunit ribosomal RNA
Source: RNAcentral